CUGAGAACGUUGUGAAUGGAUGUCUUGACAAAUGAUAUGAGUACACUAAAAGAGGAAACUGUUGAUCAAGUUGACUUACUGACUCGGACAAAAGUGGCGCAGUGAAAGCUUGGUGGAAGUACAAGUAACCAAGGAUAAUUUCAUUUGAUGGAUGGCUUAGAGUUGGUAGUGGUAGUAUUUUCCUAAGGGUGGUGGUCAUAUAUAUCAGUAUUAAGAAAAUUGUUCAGUGUUUGCAUAUCAUACAAGCUUUUGGUAUAUUUCUUGGUCAACCAGAGAUGAACCUAAAACAAAAGGGAUGGAUGGAUAUAGUCAUGAACUAUGAUUUGGGGAUAACCCACCACUCGAAGAAGUUUAAUCUAGUGGUAGAUGCGAUUGGUCAUUGGAAGGAAAGUGUCUUGAUAGAGAAGGGAGCAGAAUGGUUGUUUGCAAGUCAAUGUGUUGUUUGUUAUUUGAAGUAGUUGCUAUGGGUGGGGAAGCACAUGAUUAAGUUGACUUACUGUUGUGGAACAUUUUUUGUUGGUUAAGAUAACCGAAGAUGGUGUAAUGGGUUAUUGAACAAAUCAAUAAUAAGUAGAAGAAGAUGGUAUUGAGAACGAUGGUUAUGAAGAAUCACAUCAGUAUAUGCUCGCCACACAUUCAUGGAAGACAAAGACGUACCAUGGUCGUAUACUAUACUACAAUUGAUAGGAAACAGAGACAAAAGCUGCAUAGUGGAUGGAUAAAAGUCCGAUAUGACAACAUAUAAAAUCAUAUCAUUAGGACUCCACGGGACAUGCAAGUUACCAAGGUACAACUGAAAGUUU
Molecule: long non-coding RNA, 803 nt
Filed under: Brassica napus (rape)
Lineage: Eukaryota; Viridiplantae; Streptophyta; Magnoliopsida; Brassicales; Brassicaceae
Description: long non-coding RNA (BNAP_LNC015714)
Source: RNAcentral